UUUUCCAGCAUCUGCAGUUCCUUCUUAAACAAGUUACAUUCACUGCCCGGGACGGCAGCGAGCGCAGUGGACACUCGCGGUACUGCAGGGGUUCUGCAACUACACGUGGAGUGAAAACAUUUUAAACCAGAAAGCAAAGAAAGUGCGGGAGUUAAUAAAAUGGCUGCGAAACGCCCGGCCGGGAGUUGGACCGAGGAGGUAGUUUGUCCCAUCUGCAAAGAUUUCUUCACCGAUCUGGUGGCGCUGGACUGCGGACACAACUUCAGCCGCUCCUGCAUCACACAGAGUUGGGACAGGGAGGGGAGAAACUCAUGCCCGGAAUGCAGAGAGGAAUCUGCAAACCGCACCCUCAGGGUGAAUCGGGCCUUGGUUAGACUGUCUGAGAAAGCUCGAACACUGAGCCUGAAUCUCAAAGCGAAGAAAAGCAAACUUCAUUGCGAGGAACAUCAGGAAGACUGAAACUGUUUUGCAAAACUGACGAGAAACUGAUCUGUUUGAUUUGUGCAACUGGGCAGCAGCACAGGUCUCACAGCUUAAUGCUGAUAGAAGAAGCAAUUGAAUUCUACAAGGAACAGGUGAAAUCUUCUUUCGAAUCUCUCACAGAAAAGGAAUCCGAGAUCCAGAAAAUUGAGCAGGAACAGAAAGAGAGCAUUUCUGGAGUUCAGGAAGAGCCACACAACCUUCAGUCACUGAUCACAUCCC
Amblyraja radiata (thorny skate) is the source of this 702-nucleotide long non-coding RNA. RefSeq lists it as uncharacterized. The transcript has 3 exons. The record is from RefSeq and is a predicted model, not a curated record. Lineage: Eukaryota; Metazoa; Chordata; Chondrichthyes; Rajiformes; Rajidae.